GACGAACGCUGGCGGCGCGCCUAACACAUGCAAGUCGAACGAGCGAGAGAGAGCUUGCUUUCUCGAGCGAGUGGCGAACGGGUGAGUAACGCGUGAGGAACCUGCCUCAAAGAGGGGGACAACAGUUGGAAACGACUGCUAAUACCGCAUAAGCCCACGGCUCGGCAUCGAGCAGGGGGAAAAGGAGCAAUCCGCUUUGAGAUGGCCUCGCGUCCGAUUAGCUAGUUGGUGAGGUAACGGCCCACCAAGGCGACGAUCGGUAGCCGGACUGAGAGGUUGAACCGCCACAUUGGGACUGCGACACGGCCCAGACUCCUACGGGAGGCAGCAGUGGGGAAUAUUGCACAAUGGGGGAAACCCUGAUGCAGCGACGCCGCGUGGAGGAAGAAGGUCUUAGGAUUGUAAACUCCUGUUGUUGGGGAAGAUAAUGACGGUACCCAACAAGGAAGUGACGGCUAACUACGUG
Molecule: ribosomal RNA, 466 nt
Filed under: uncultured bacterium
Lineage: Bacteria
Description: partial 16S ribosomal RNA
Rfam family: Bacterial small subunit ribosomal RNA
Source: RNAcentral